GACGAACGCUGGCGGCGUGCUUAACACAUGCAAGUCGAACGGAAAGGCCCUGCUUUUGUGGGGUGCUCGAGUGGCGAACGGGUGAGUAACACGUGAGUAACCUGCCCUUGACUUUGGGAUAACUUCAGGAAACUGGGGCUAAUACCGGAUAGGAGCUCCUGCUGCAUGGUGGGGGUUGGAAAGUUUCGGCGGUUGGGGAUGGACUCGCGGCUUAUCAGCUUGUUGGUGGGGUAGUGGCUUACCAAGGCUUUGACGGGUAGCCGGCCUGAGAGGGUGACCGGCCACAUUGGGACUGAGAUACGGCCCAGACUCCUACGGGAGGGAGGAGUGGGGAAUAUUGCACAAUGGGCGGAAGCCUGAUGCAGCAACGCCGCGUGCGGGAUGACGGCCUUCGGGUUGUAACCGCUUUCGCCUGUGACGAAGCGUGAGUGACGGUAAUGGGUAAAGAAGCACCGGCUAACUACGUG
Molecule: ribosomal RNA, 467 nt
Filed under: uncultured bacterium
Lineage: Bacteria
Description: partial 16S ribosomal RNA
Rfam family: Bacterial small subunit ribosomal RNA
Source: RNAcentral